Molecule: long non-coding RNA, 6868 nt
Organism: Orcinus orca (killer whale)
Lineage: Eukaryota; Metazoa; Chordata; Mammalia; Artiodactyla; Delphinidae
Exons: 4
Source: RefSeq, a predicted model, not a curated record
AUUGACAUCCGUCCUCCCCCCUCCUCCUGAGAAGUCAACACUAACUGGCAUUGGGAUUUUAUAAUGCUGCUCCUUCCUUGUUUCAUUACUACAGUUUCAUCACUACGAUGUUUGACACGGCCUCCAUACCUGUGGGUUCCGCACCUGCAGAUUCAACAAACCGCGGAUAGAAAAUAUUCUUCAGUUAACUUUUUAGUUGAAGCACAUUCUAUUGCUGACUCAGGACUCAUGAGCCCUGUGUUCUCUACAAAUCUCUAUCUUUCUAGUCUAUUUCUUUCCAAAGCAUAGCUUGGAAUUUAUCCUUGGGAUCUUUCAUUUUGUUAACGAGGUGAUGGUGAUGAUAAUGAUGAGGAUGGUGAUGAUAACACACACCUUCUUUUGAGUAUCUACCAUGAUGAUGGUGAUGAUGAUACGCACCUUCUUUUGAGCAUCUACCGUGUAACCAUAACAGUGCUGGGAACUUUACACACAGUGUCAAACUAAUCCACAGAGAAGUCAUGUUAAUGAGAAUUUCAUACUCAUGUGGCAAAAGGGGAAGCUGAGGUGUGGAUGAGUUAAGUCCUCAUCUGCAAUUGAGAAGCAGAGUUGGAUUUGUGCCCAGGACCUUCUGUUUCACAGCCCACCUCCUCCCAGGCUCUUGACUUUUCUUGCUUUUCUCAAGCUGCUCCAGGUCAUAGAAUAAAAUAAGAGGAACCUAGUUUUCCAUCUGGUCUGAAGCCCUUGGGAAGUGGGCUGAGUCAGGUUCUCCAGUGGAUCACAAUGACUUUGGAACUAUCAAUAACUUUGAAAACUUGAUGCUUUACGAGGACACUGUACAUAGUCCAGCUAUCUGGUUUCUUCCUUGCACUAGAUCCUCCCCUGAGCAUUCUUGCCUCUACACAUUCUGCGCAUUCUUUGUCCUCCCCUUACAGUCCAAUCUGUCUUCCUUGCAAAGACAAGCUGAAUCCAGUUCCCUCUGUAAAGCUGUCUCCUUCUACUUUAACCAAUUCUCAUCUCCUUUCUCAUGACUCUGAUAAUGUCCUUAUCAUACACGAUCAGAUGACUAAUAUGGUUUUGUGUGCCCAUCUUGCCUCCUGAGGAGACGAAAUGCUACUUCAGAUCUUAGCCUUCACUAACAAGUCUUCAGUAGAUCCCUCACUCUCCCCCCGCCAAUCCAGCUUUUAGUUCAAGUUUAGACAUAGAAUUAUACUUUGACAUACUUAUUGGAAAUAACUGGUCAAAUAGUAGAAUUCAAACCCAUACUCUCUCCUCUGUACCAAAGUAGACCAAAGACAGGAAUUUAAAUACACAAAGAUACAAAGAUAAUGUGGGUUUGGAGAGGAGCUAUACUAGAGUGAAUCUUAGAGAAAGUAGUUUUGGGGACUCAGGAGAAGAUAGUUUGAUGGUUAGUGUUGAGGAUGAUCUGUGAUGUUUGACAUGGCCACUUAGCAGGCAGUUGGGGGCAGAUACCUGGGGCAGGUACAUGCUAUUGUGUCUUUAUUGGGAACCUCUGUUUUCUUGCUAAAAUAAUUGGACAUAUAUAUUGUGUUCCUCCAAACACAGUUUGGGGGAUGUUGGUUUAAAGUCGCGUAACCCGAUUGCUUCUUUUUUUUUAUAAAAUUUUUUUUUAUUGAAGUGCAAUUGAUUUACAGUUCUGUGCCAAUCUCUGUUGUACAACGAAGUAACUCAGUUAUACACUCCAACCUGAUUGUUUUGAAGCAUGAAUUUAGUACUGGAGCUAUACUCCUCUAAAGUAGAAGCCUUUCCUGUUUUGGUUAAUUUGAUAUUUAUGGAGGAAGCUCAUUAACUCUUUGAGGACUUAAGGAGAUAUUCUAUUUGGGUUGGGCAUGGACAGAUGCCACCAAAACCUCAGUGGCUUAACACAGUAAGAGUUUAUUAUUAUUCCACAUGGCUUUGUGGAAGGGCAGUGGGGCUCUGCUCCAAACAGGCAUUCCACACCCUCAGUAGUGGUCUUAAAAAGUCCCCUCCCCACCGACUCCAGCCAUGCACACACGUUCUUUGACACUCCUCUGAUGGAGAGAUGGUAUCUGUGUCUGCUCUCCUUGAACCUGGGCCAGCUUAUUGAUACUUCAGCUAAUAGCACAUACCUGAUGUAAUAUGUGUGCCUUCCAAGCUGGCUUCAAAAGACCAUGUAGCUUCUCCCUUCUUUGCUGGAGCCCUGGGCCACCAUGUAUGAAAUCUGACUGCCUUGAUGUUGCCGUUUGUGAGCAAGUCCACACCACUUAGAGAGUCUACAGUGGGCACUCAAGGUGGCAGUCUUAGCCUUUGAAUCAUCUUCCCCAGCACCAGAUAUGUGAAUGAACAAGCCUUCGGAUGAUUCUAGACAUUAGCCAUUGACUUCCCAGCCUCAGAUAUAAUGGAGCAUUGACAAGUCAUCCUCUUUUUACCCUGUUCAAAUUCUUGACCCACAGCAUCCAUGAAUGUAAGUCAAUGCUUUUUUUAAGCUGCUCAGCUCUUCUGCAGCAUGGUAACUAGAAUACCACCUAUGACACCAUCACAAGGGGCUCAGGACUUACCUUCAUAGUGUAAGAGAUGACAGGAGAGCUGAGCAACAGCAGUGACAUGUUUUAGCCUGGAAGUGAGAUGCCUCAUAUUUCAUUAGCCAUGAUUAAUGACAUGGCCAAACUUAAUUCCAAGGGUAUGGAGAAGUGUAAUGAAGACGUCACUAGAAAUAGACAAGAACUAGAAAUUGGUGAACAUCAGUAACAUCCACCUCCAUAGCUGAUAACCUCAUGCCUCCUGCUAUGGACUGAUUGUGUGCCCCCCACAUUCAUAUGUUGAAGCCCUAACCUCCAACGUGAUGGUUUUCAGAGGUGGGGCCUUUGGGAGGUCAUUAGGUUUAGAUGAGGUCAUGAGGACGGGGCCUUUAUGGUAGGAUUAGUGACCUUAUUAAAAGAGACUCUAAAGAACUUGCUUUCUCCCUUUCUCCUUCUCUCCCUCUCUCUCUCCCUGCCCUGUGAGGACACAGCAGGAAGGCAGCUGUCUACAAUCCAGGAAGAGAGCUCCCACCAGAAACUGACCAUGCUGGCUCCUUGAUCUUGGACUUCUAGACUCGAGAGCUACGACUGAGAUGCUGAGUGCCAUUUUUAAAGGAGGAACUCUUCGCUUACAACAGCAUUUUAUUUUGACGACCAGGUGAAUCCUGGGGAGGUCUGUCUGGAGCAUCACACGGUGCACACAAGCCGACGUUCUCUCCCCGCUCUGCCUACCAGAGCUCUGUUACCAAAAUCAACGAUUAAUGGUUGAAAGAGUCUGAAAAAUGGCUAUCCCUUUGACCUUUCUAAGGCCAGAAAUGUGGAAAACACCUUCUCACCAUCUUCCAUUAAGAGAAAAGAGAAUUUGUGUUACUGCUUGAAAAAUCAACUGCUUAAUCUUCGAAUGAAAUGCCAGUCAGUAAAAUUAAUGGAGAGUGGGACAGUUUCACUAGAAACACCCCACGGAUGAGAUGAAUGUUCCAGAUAAACCACAUGCAAAGUCCUGGUGGUAAAAGAAGUACAGCAUUUGGGGAAAGCAAAUCUAUCAUAUAAAUCUAAACACAGCACCAGAGUGGGUAUUUUGAGAUAUUUUUAAUAAUUAGGAAAGAAUAACGACAAAAAUCAUGGUCUUUGCCUGAAAAGAAUUUGUUGUCAGCUUACAUUGAGACAUGGCUUAUAUACAUUCGCAUUUCAAGAGGGCACAUAUGAGACUGUAUGUAUGUAUGUCAAGUGCUUUGCAGUGGAUUUCAGAUUGCGUACAAAAGUGCCAAAGGAAAUGCCAAAUAAGGGGGAAAUGAGUUAAUAUUUUUAGGUUGUUUAGAAUAUGAUCACCUAUGUUUUAUGCAUGUUUAGGUCAAAUAUAUCCUUUGUAAAAUAUAAGCAAUGUCUGCCUCUCCUAAGAAAAUUUGAUUUAAACUUGUACCCAGAAGCCUGUAUGUGCAUGCCACUCCUUGGUGUGUUUUCUUUUGGCCAGUGGGCACCUGGAUCUCUUUUUAUUUGUUCAAAACAUUUUUUCUUCCUCUCUGAAACACUAAGCUAAUAGUUUAGUAAUGUAAUAAAACUCAAAACAAUUUUCACCUGCAUCUUUGGCAUAAAUCAAUUAAAUUAGGCACAAAUAUUGGUGUUUUAGAGAUGAAAAAGAAUUACCCAGUAGUGCUGAUAUGGGGGUACUGGUAAUCUAAUGAAUAACAUACAUUUCCUUUCAGCUUACUAGCUGAAAGGAAAUGAUUUAUUUUACAGAAAUAAGUUAGCCUCAGUGUCCUGAGCAUUGAAUCUCAUGUCUGGAUCUUACAUCUAGAAUUAAAAUAGAAAGUUUAACAUUUUUUUAACUUAUAAAUUUCUUUUUUAUAAUCAUAGAAAGCUAAGCAUCACAGCCUCUAAAGUAUGGAAAGGUGCAAGAGUAUUUCUGAACUUUUCUUACCUUACAAAGAUCGUCAGGACGGUGUCCCCCUUGCUGUUUUCUUUUUUUGUUUUUUGUUUUUUUGGGUUUUUUUGGGAAGAGCCUUGUGUUGUCAGAGAUAAGCAAAGCAAAGUUGUUGAUUAGAGUAUGGAGAAGUUCUCUUUGGGAAGUACACUCUGUUUUGUAAGUAAGGCUGGUCAGACAGAAAUUAGAAGGAAGGCAAGUCAUUUCUUCUCUUUUUGACUCUGCAUCAUUGGUCUGUGUCCUGGGUGCCAUCAUUAGUGGCCUUCCUUGGCCCUCAAAGUGCUGAGGGAUAAUAACAAUGAACAUGGAAUAAAUAAUCAUUCAAAGAUGAAAGCAAAUAAAAACAAUUUAAUACAAAUGCUAGAUGAAUUUACUGUUCAGAGAUCCUCACUAAAAUAACUCUUAAUGAAUGUACUUGGGGAAAAGAAAAUUGAACCCAAUAGGAAGGUGUGGACUCCUAGAGAGGCCUGUAGAUGGGGCUGGAAGAGGUAUAGAAAGAUCUUUAAGGGACGUCCCAUCUGGCAUUUCAUCUUGAUCUUUAUAACAAUGGCUAUUGGGAGCAUUUAAGCAUGGAGAGACAGCUCCACUACCUGCUGAAUAGUGGUUGGAAGACAGCAAGAUAGGAAGCAAAAAGAUGGGUUAAGAGGGUGUAGAGGAUUUUCAUACAGGAAGUGAUGAGGACAUCCACCACGUAGUGGAAAUGGGUUUUAGCACUGUGGAAACAGAAAAGAAGGACCUACAAGUAUGUCAGGGUGACUGGAUAUGAGCCAUGAAGCUGUGAUAGUAGUUAAGGAUGACUCAAGUCUUCCCCUUAAGUUGUUGGUGGUGCCAUUGGCUGGGGGAAAGAAGGGUUUGUAGGAAGCAGUUUGGGUUUGAAUACUGAGAGGCUUACAAGGCAUCUAAGUGGAGAUGGGCCUCUUCAAACCCCAAUAUUGUGGUGUUAUUACAUGUUUUAGAAUUUUUUCAAUCUGAUGGUUUUAUGAUAUUCUGUCUCUCUCUUCCUCCCCCAACCAUUAAAUUGUAUUCCUCUGAUUGCUAGUGAAGCCCAGAACUUUUCAUUGGUUUAUUAAUCAUUCUGGUUUACUUUUCUGUCAGCUGCCUGUGAGCUGUCUUUAGCAGACGUAAUAGUUUGCUUACCCAACCAACAUUUCCCUCCUUUCUUUCUUAUUAAAAGUGUCCUGAUUUGGUUGAGGUGUGAGGUGGCAAUGUCCCAAGAAAUGACGGCAGGUCUUCCCUAAGCUCCUACAGAUAAGCAAUGAUUGGUCAUCUGUCCCAUUUCUGGCCAAUAGGACCUACAGGAAAAUCUCCUUUGCAGGUAUUUGUGCUGUCUUUUCCAGUAUUUGGCUUAUAGAUUUCACUCUGUUUAUGGUGUCAUACAAAGGUUUUUAAUUUUAAUGUAGCAAAAAAUGUAUCAUUCCUUCUUUCCUUGUCAUCUUUUGUCUUGGUUUAGAAGUGAUUCUCUAUCCUGAGGUUCUAAAACUAUUCUCUAUUUUUUCUUCCAUAAAUGUUAAGUUAAAAAAAUCUUUAGAUUUUAAAUACAUCUGGAAUUUAUUUUUGAAUCUGGCAUGAGGCAAAGAUGUUUUUACGAAUGUGUAGUCAGUCAGCCCAGAACAUUUUUUGAAUAGUUCAUUCUUUCUUUCUGGUUUAUAUUAGCACCUCUCUCAUAUAUGAAGUGCACAUGGAUAUGUUGGUCUGUUGUAAAUUUCCCUAAUCUGUUCAUUUGGUCUAUUUUUCUACCACUAUUUCUUUUCUCUAAUAAGUUGUAAGCUCUCUUGAACUUUUUUUUACGUAAAUAAUUCUUUAGUCUACAAAUAAUGACAAUUUUAUUUCUUCAUUUCCAAUGCUUAUAUCGAUUAUUUCUUUUUCGUGCCUUAUUGUGCUGGCUAGGAUUGCUGGUACAAUUUUAAAUAAAAGCAGUGAGAGUAGGCAUUGUUUCUUGUUCCUGACUUGUUUUGGUUCUUUUAAGGGAAUGUUAUUAAUUCUUCACCAUUGUGUAUGAUUUAUGUUGAUUCCAUUGAUCAAGUUAAAGGGGUUCCUUCCAUCCUUAACUUGUUUAGGGUAUUUGUUUUGUUAUCCAGAAAGGUAUUGAAUUUUACUUUUGUGUUUUUCUGAAUAUUUUGAUAAUCAUAUAGCUUUUCUCCUGUAAUAUGUUGUGAAUUAUAUUUGUAGAUUUUCUAAUGUUAAUCUAAUCUGUAGUCCUGUGAUAAGCCAUACAUGGCCAUGAUGUAAUUAUUUAAUAGCCUGCUGGAUUUAGGUUACCAAUGUUUUAUUUAGAAUUCUUGCAUUAAUGAUCAUAAGAUGGAUUGACCUAUAGCACUUUUUUCUUUUAAUGUCCUUGUCCAGUUUUGGUGCCUAGGUUAUACCAGCCUCAUAAAUUUAAGUGGGGAGCCCUCCCUGGAAUCAUUUGUAUAAAAGAGGACAGUUUGUGGAAUAUACCUGCAAAAUCAUCUAGCUCUUCACAGUCUGUCUU